Molecule: long non-coding RNA, 1513 nt
Filed under: Anthonomus grandis grandis
Lineage: Eukaryota; Metazoa; Arthropoda; Insecta; Coleoptera; Curculionidae
Description: uncharacterized LOC126738228
Source: RNAcentral
UUACAAUCUUCCAACAUUAAUAGGUUCUGAGCAAUUCGAAUUUUCGCGUUUAAUUCAUUUGCCACGUCCCUGUACAUGGUGAAAAGAUCAGACAUCAUCUAAAAGAUCCGAAAUUUUGUUUUACAACACAUACUAAAAUUUCAGGGUUCCAGCGAUAGUACAAGUACCCGAAAAAUGCGAUUUUAUGAAAAAAGUCCAUUUUUUUGCGUUUUUGCAGGUAAUUGGAGGUGUCAACCUAAACUCUGAUGAAAUGGCUGGUGGGAACAAUACUUUGACGCAUGGUGGAUACAAAUUUUUUGCUCGUGACAGGUGGCCGGGACUUGGUUUGGUUUUUUGUAAAAUUAUGAAUGAAAAUGAACCGGAAACGAUCAGGGAAAGGAAGCACCGAAUCAGAAAAUGAAUGGGCUUUCCGAAUCUGUGCAUAUCAAUUGGGGAAAUUGUGUAUUGCGGCCAGGAAAAUUCGGCAAACAUUUUGACGUCUUCGAAAAAUGCCGUUUUUUUGAAAUGUCAGUGUCUUUAUACCGGGGUGAGACGAAAUGAAAUUUGCCCGAUUAUUUUAUUAAAAUUAUUCGAAUAUAUACACGGGUCAGUCGUAAUGAUCUACUUAAUUUAAAAUAAGAAUUUAGAUAUUAGGUGAGUUUUUACUAUUUAGUUUAUUAUUAAUAAAUGUUAACAAUUCUUAAACAUUGCUUUUGGGAUAUAAAUAAAAAUUUUUUGAAAUUAUUGAUUUUUAAGGUUAGUCGAGUAUCAUAACUUUUUUGGUAUUGGUGCGAUUUGGUUGAAAUUUGGUACCUAGUACCUAUUUCGGAUAAGAUUAAUAAAUUUUUACAGAUAUUUGACAUGACUAUGUUUUAAGGUCACGUGAUUAUCAAAACUUUCUUCCUAUUUGUCCGAUUUGAUUGAAAUUUGGUAUUUGGGGUUUAUUUAGGAUGCAAUUAUUAAUUUUUCACAGAUAUUUGACAUUUGACUUCCAGGUCACGUGACUAUUGUAACUUUUUUGCUAUUGGUCUGAUUGGGUUCAAAUUUGGUAUUUGGGCUUUAUUUAAAAUGCAAUUAUUAAUUUUUGACAGAUAUUUGACAUUUGACUUCCGGGUCACGUGACUAUUGUAACUUUUUUGCUAUGAGUCCGAUUGGGUUCAAAUUUGGUAUUUAUGCUUUAUUUAGGAUACAAUUAAUAAAUUUUAACAGAUAAUUGACAAAUUAUAUUUUAAAGUCACGUGACUUUCAUAAUUCUUUUGCUAUUGAUCCGAUUGGGUUGAAAUUUAGUAUUUGAGCUUUAUUUAGGAUGCCAGUAAUACAUUUUGACAGAAAUUUGACAGAUUGAAUUUUAAAGUCACGUGACUUCCAUAACUUUUUUGCUAUUGAUCCGAUUGGGUUCAAAUUUGGAAUUUGGGGUUUAUUUAGGAUGCAAUUGUUGAUUUUUUACAAAAUUUUAAAAUAUUGAGUUCUAGGGUCACGUGACUAUCAAAAUUUCCUAUUUGAUUGAAAUUGGCUAUUAAAUGAUAUGUAUAUA